CCCGGUUUGAAGCAGUGGUCAUGCCCAGGCCACGGAGGCAGUCAGUGGAUGAGAUGGCUCCAGGAAACAACACCACAAAGUUAUCAGCGUGAAGUGGAUGAUGAUGUGGUGUCAUUCCCAGAAAGUCUUCUGCUGUUGCUAUCUCGUGAUGCAUCUUGACAGUGUGAUGGCAUCCCGCAGCUCUCUGUGCAUCUUCAGGCAAAUGUCACACACUGAAACUAAACAGGAUCUUUUUUUUCUUGUUCAUCCGACGUGCUGUUUUCUGUGCCCGAGAUACGAAUCUGUAUUUGAAAAUGCCUUAACCCUUUGGAAGGACAACCCUUCCUCUCUGUGCCCCAGGAGGGAGUUUUGCAGCAGAUGUGGGGGACGAUGCGUUGGCACUGAGGUCAUUCUGCAUGCUCGAUGUACUCCCAUUGCAAAAGGUACCAAGACAUAUUCAAAAUCAGUUUCUUGUCGAAAGAUGGAAGUAGAGGACAAAGCAGUAACAAAAACCUUCAUGGAGUGA
This 505-nucleotide long non-coding RNA is filed under the name Chrysolophus pictus (golden pheasant). RNAcentral's name for it is "lncRNA (ENSCPIG00010005649.1)". The record is from RNAcentral. Lineage: Eukaryota; Metazoa; Chordata; Aves; Galliformes; Phasianidae.